Molecule: transfer RNA, 57 nt
Filed under: Loxodonta africana (African savanna elephant)
Lineage: Eukaryota; Metazoa; Chordata; Mammalia; Proboscidea; Elephantidae
Rfam family: tRNA
About the family: Transfer RNA (tRNA) molecules are approximately 80 nucleotides in length.
Source: Rfam by way of RNAcentral
AGCUCAGUGGUUAAAGCACUUGGCUGCUAACCAAAAUGUCGGUGGUUUGAACCCACC